RNAcentral lists this unclassified non-coding RNA (333 nucleotides) under soil metagenome. Its description in RNAcentral is "partial contains 5.8S ribosomal RNA, internal transcribed spacer 2, and large subunit ribosomal RNA". The stretch from base 1 to 120 matches the Rfam family "5.8S ribosomal RNA", at positions 35 to 154 of the family's 154-position model. The record is from RNAcentral.
GAUGAAGAACGCAGCAAAAUGCGAUAAGUAAUGUGAAUUGCAGAAUUCAGUGAAUCAUCGAAUCUUUGAACGCACAUUGCGCCCGCCAGUAUUCUGGCGGGCAUGCCUGUUCGAGCGUCAUUUCAACCCUCAAGCUCAGCUUGGUGUUGGGACUCGCGGUAACCCGCGUUCCCCAAAUCGAUUGGCGGUCACGUCGAGCUUCCAUAGCGUAGUAAUCAUACACCUCGUUACUGGUAAUCGUCGCGGCCACGCCGUAAAACCCCACCUUCUGAAUGUUGACCUCGGAUCAGGUAGGAAUACCCGCUGAACUUAAGCAUAUCAAUAAGCGGAGGA